AUUGAACGCUGGCGGCAUGCCUUACACAUGCAAGUCGAACGGUAACAGGUCUUUCGGGAUGCUGACGAGUGGCGAACGGGUGAGUAAUACAUCGGAACGUGCCUAGUAUUGGGGGAUAACUACUCGAAAGAGUGGCUAAUACCGCAUGAGAUCUUUGGAUGAAAGCAGGGGACCUUUGGUCCUUGUGCUACUAGAUCGGCCGAUGGCAGAUUAGGUAGUUGGUUGGAUAAAAGCUUACCAAGCCUACGAUCUGUAGCUGGUCUGAGAGGACGAUCAGCCACACUGGGACUGAGACACGGCCCAGACUCCUACGGGAGGCAGCAGUGGGGAAUUUUGGACAAUGGGCGCAAGCCUGAUCCAGCAAUGCCGCGUGCAGGAUGAAGGCCUUCGGGUUGUAAACUGCUUUUGUACGGAACGAAAAGUCUUGGGUUAAUACCCUGGGAUCAUGACGGUACCGUAAGAAUAAGCACCGGCUAACUACGUG
This 484-nucleotide ribosomal RNA is filed under the name uncultured bacterium. RNAcentral's name for it is "partial 16S ribosomal RNA". It matches the Rfam family "Bacterial small subunit ribosomal RNA", at positions 30 to 507 of the family's 1533-position model. The record is from RNAcentral.